UGGGGAAUUUUGGACAAUGGGCGAAAGCCUGAUCCAGCAAUGCCGCGUGUGUGAAGAAGGCCUUCGGGUUGUAAAGCACUUUUGUCCGGAAAGAAAUCCUUGGCUCUAAUACAGUCGGGGGAUGACGGUACCGGAAGAAUAAGCACCGGCUAACUACGUGCCAGCAGCCGCGGUAAUACGUAGGGUGCAAGCGUUAAUCGGAAUUACUGGGCGUAAAGCGUGCGCAGGCGGUUUGCUAAGACCGAUGUGAAAUCCCCGGGCUCAACCUGGGAACUGCAUUGGUGACUGGCAGGCUAGAGUAUGGCAGAGGGGGGUAGAAUUCCACGUGUAGCAGUGAAAUGCGUAGAGAUGUGGAGGAAUACCGAUGGCGAAGGCAGCCCCUGGGCCAAUACUGACGCUCAUGCACGAAAGCGUGGGGAGCAAACAGGAUUAGAUACCCUGGUAGUCCACGCCCUAAACGAUGUCAACUAGUUGUUGGGGAUUCAUUCCUUAGUAACGUAGCUAACGCGUGAAGUUGACCGCCUGGGGAGUACGGUCGCAAGAUUAAAACUUAAAGGAAUUGAC
RNAcentral lists this ribosomal RNA (564 nucleotides) under uncultured bacterium. RNAcentral describes it as "partial 16S ribosomal RNA". It matches the Rfam family "Bacterial small subunit ribosomal RNA", at positions 355 to 914 of the family's 1533-position model. The record is from RNAcentral.